AUUGAACGCUGGCGGCAUGCUUUACACAUGCAAGUAGAACGGUAACAGGCCUUCGGGUGCUGACGAGUGGCGAACGGGUGAGUAAUGCAUCGGAACGUGCCCAGAGGUGGGGGAUAACGCAGCGAAAGCUGUGCUAAUACCGCAUGUGAUCUGAGGAUGAAAGCGGGGGACCAGGCAGCAAUGUUUGGCCUCGCGCCUUUGGAGCGGCCGAUGUCAGAUUAGGUAGUUGGUGGGGUAAAGGCCUACCAAGCCGACGAUCUGUAGCUGGUCUGAGAGGACGACCAGCCACACUGGGACUGAGACACGGCCCAGACUCCUACGGGAGGCAGCAGUGGGGAAUUUUGGACAAUGGGCGCAAGCCUGAUCCAGCAAUGCCGCGUGCGGGAAGAAGGCCUUCGGGUUGUAAACCGCUUUUGUACGGAACGAAAAGGCUCUGGCUAAUACCUGGGGCUGAUGACGGUACCGUAAGAAUAAGCACCGGCUAACUACGUG
This 492-nucleotide ribosomal RNA is filed under the name uncultured bacterium. Its description in RNAcentral is "partial 16S ribosomal RNA". It matches the Rfam family "Bacterial small subunit ribosomal RNA", at positions 30 to 507 of the family's 1533-position model. The record is from RNAcentral.